CAAGCAGUGAACAGACAGAGCUGUGGGUUUAUUAUCCUUAUAUACACAUUCUUACACAUUAGUACCACCCACAGGGUUUUACACAACAACCAAUCAUAAACGUACAUUACAGAAACACUCCCAGCAAUUACACACAAAAAUCCUCCCCUCUGCCUGUGAUAUAAUUAUGUUGCACAAUGGUUUAACAUAAUUAAACACAGGCAGUAAAAAUACAGUUUUUAUCCAUACACUGUAACUUUAAAACUACACAUCCAAUCUUUGGAAUACAUAUUUGGAAUCAGCACACUUUAAACAUAAACAUAACCAAAAAUCAGCCAAAUCCAUCCAGGGGUUAAAAAGUUAGCUGGAGGUCCCUUUAUGACCGACUGCAAGCACAUUUUCAUGCCCAAAACAGUUCCAUAGAUUUGGGCUGUGCGGCCGGUCUAUUUCAGGCUGAAAAAACUACUAAGUCUCAUCGCCGAAUGGGACUUAGUCUCUGCAGCUGUAAAAUCAUUGUGGGAGAAGGUAGGGCUCAGCGGUGUUCGCGGAAAUGUGUAGCCGAUUUUAGUUCCAUGAAUUUGGCUACACAUACCGCUGACCUUGUUCGCAUCAACAAAGAUGGCCGCCGCCACGUGUUUGGCAAACGAACAAAGGCCACCCAGCGUUCGGCAAUUAAGCUGCGGUUAACCACAGCUUCUGGGAGGUAAAUUGCCGACACACUCCCAAGACAGGUGGUCCG
Pelobates cultripes (western spadefoot toad) is the source of this 718-nucleotide non-coding RNA. Lineage: Eukaryota; Metazoa; Chordata; Amphibia; Anura; Pelobatidae. The record is from the annotation of a GenBank genome assembly.